UGCCAGACUCCUACGGGAGGCAGCAGUGGGGGAUAUUGCACAAUGGGGGAAACCCUGAUGCAGCGACGCCGCGUGUGGGAAGACGGUCCUCUGGAUUGUAAACCACUGUCCCCAGGGACGAAAAUGACGGUACCUGACUAAGAAGCCCCGGCUAACUACGUGCCAGCAGCCGCGGUAAUACGUAGGGGGCAAGCGUUAUCCGGAUUUACUGGGUGUAAAGGGAGCGUAGACGGUCCUGCAAGCCAGAUGUGAAAGCCCGGGGCUCAACCCCGGGACUGCAUUUGGAACUGUAAGGCUAGAGUGUCGGAGAGGCAGGCGGAAUUCCUAGUGUAGCGGUGAAAUGCGUAGAUAUUAGGAGGAACACCAGUGGCGAAGGCGGCCUGCUGGACGAUGACUGACGUUGAGGCUCGAAAGCGUGGGGAGCAAACAGGAUUAGAUACCCCCGUAAUA
This 450-nucleotide ribosomal RNA is filed under the name uncultured bacterium. RNAcentral describes it as "bacterial SSU rRNA". It matches the Rfam family "Bacterial small subunit ribosomal RNA", at positions 329 to 795 of the family's 1533-position model. The record is from RNAcentral.